This 77-nucleotide transfer RNA is filed under the name Desulfovibrio sp. X2. Its description in RNAcentral is "tRNA-Ile". It matches the Rfam family "tRNA". Rfam says of the family: Transfer RNA (tRNA) molecules are approximately 80 nucleotides in length. Their secondary structure includes four short double-helical elements and three loops (D, anti-codon, and T loops). Further hydrogen bonds mediate the characteristic L-shaped molecular structure. tRNAs have two regions of fundamental functional importance: the anti-codon, which is responsible for specific mRNA codon recognition, and the 3' end, to which the tRNAs corresponding amino acid is attached (by aminoacyl-tRNA synthetases). tRNAs cope with the degeneracy of the genetic code in two manners: having more than one tRNA (with a specific anti-codon) for a particular amino acid; and 'wobble' base-pairing, i.e. permitting non-standard base-pairing at the 3rd anti-codon position. RNAcentral also lists the same sequence under 9 other names. Lineage: Bacteria; Pseudomonadati; Thermodesulfobacteriota; Desulfovibrionia; Desulfovibrionales; Desulfovibrionaceae. The record is from RNAcentral.
GGGCCUAUAGCUCAGGUGGUUAGAGCGCACGCCUGAUAAGCGUGAGGUCGAUAGUUCAAGUCUAUCUAGGCCCACCA